RNAcentral lists this ribosomal RNA (253 nucleotides) under uncultured bacterium. RNAcentral describes it as "partial 16S ribosomal RNA". It matches the Rfam family "Bacterial small subunit ribosomal RNA", at positions 524 to 776 of the family's 1533-position model. The record is from RNAcentral.
UACGAAGGGUGCAAGCGUUACUCGGAAUUACUGGGCGUAAAGCGUGCGUAGGUGGUUCGUUAAGUCUGAUGUGAAAGCCCUGGGCUCAACCUGGGAAUGGCAUUGGAAACUGGCGAUCUAGAGUGCGGUAGAGGGUAGUGGAAUUCCCGGUGUAGCGGUGAAAUGCGUAGAGAUCGGGAGGAACAUCUGUGGCGAAGGCGACUGCCUGGACCAGAACUGACACUGAGGCACGAAAGCGUGGGGAGCAAACAGG